This 1649-nucleotide unclassified non-coding RNA is filed under the name Hevea brasiliensis (rubber tree). The record is from RNAcentral. Lineage: Eukaryota; Viridiplantae; Streptophyta; Magnoliopsida; Malpighiales; Euphorbiaceae.
GUGAAAUGCACAAAAUUUUUAAUUCAUAAUACUUCAUACAAUACAACAAAAGCCCACAUAGUCUUAAUACAUUAAUUUCUUAUGUAAUGAUACUAUUAAUAUGUGUUUGUACCUAUGACACUAGCAAAAUUCCAUCAAUUCCCUUUACAUAAAUUACAUCUACUUAGCAAACAUUGGGGCCAAACCCCACAAACCCAUUUGCCCCAUCAAAAGAAAUCUGAAUUCCCUCUUGUUGAAUGUUCCCUAUGAUGGAUAGUCCUGAAGGAGAUGCUGCAAAUGCAAAACAAAAUGUCCCCACAUCAUCCACUGGAAUUAAAAAGUUCCUUGCUGGAAGGGUCAGGAUUGGCCCGCCCGAAAAGUAGAAUGACACGGUUGGGACCCGAACUGACACGAACCCGAAUAGGUUAUAACAAGUAUCAAAUAUGGAAACACCGGAUGCCCGAGGGAGGUUUCCGGUUUGUGCGAUAAAAGCAUCUCGGAACGCCAUGUAAGCCACCGAAGGAAGCCUAGUCACAGCGGUCCCGGUGUCCAUAACAACACCUCCAUUCCCCAUUUCACUCAGCUGAAAAACGUCUUCUGAUAUGGGCACCUUCAUGCCUCCGACUCCAAGACCCGAAAGCCCGAUGUAAUAGAAGCUUGGGGCCCGUGGGUUACGGAUCAAAGGAAUCCAAGCAGCACCCACUGGCAUUGCUCCACGCCCGAAUUCUAAUGAUCCAGAUGAAUCGGUUCCCCGACUCACUAAACAGUAACUAAAUGCACCACCUGUCUGACCACCCAAUUGGCCUACAAGCGAUAAGGAUCCACCUCCAAGGCCUAGUAACCCGGCUGCUCCAAUAAACAUGCCACGGUUGCUGUGCCCGCACCCGAUGGCAACGUUUCGGACGACAGUCCUCCCGAAAGUUAGCGUUUCGAGGGCAAGGGUCCCCUUGGUGUACGACCCAUCACCAUACAUCACCUCAUACCGACAACGACCCGCAUGGCAACCCGAGUUCUCAACUCUGUCACAAACCGCAGAGCUACAAGAGACCCCUAUAAACGAUGCGGAGUUACCCGGGUCAAAUACCGGGUCGGUUUGGCGGUAACACUGAGUGCAUGGUUGACACUGGACCCAAACUAUAUCACUACCCGAAUCAAUAACCACGUACUGAUCUUUUGGCGGGCUCCCAACGCCUAUUCUAACAAAAUAUUCUCCGCUACCUUGAUUCAUACCGGAAACCACCUCCGCCCCAAAGUCCCCCUCUGUAUAACUGGCGGUGCCGGAACCUGAAAGGCGACGGACGAGGCUUGCCACCCUCUUCAUGUCUCGGUGUAUGCGCGCAUGAAAAGGGUUGGAGUUGUUGGAAGUUAUCUUGUCUCUAUGGAGUAGUUUUAGCUUCCAUUUCACGUCAGUUUGAGUUCCAUUUUGAUUCUUGAACGGUUCUUGAUAUUGGGAUGUUUUGGUAGGCUUAGUUUUAGUUUCUGUGAUUGCUUCUUUGAUGUUCAAGAAUUGAAAAUCAGGGUAUGAGAUGGUUUUGGCUGUGGUGCUACACUGUAGUAGUAGCAGCAGGAUCACCACUGGGGCAAGUGGUUGAAGGGAUAGCAUGUUUGUUUGUGUUUUUGGUUCUUUGCUCAAUGGGUUGUGGUUUUUGGGAGGAGAGGGUGGAGUGGAG